This 30-nucleotide non-coding RNA is filed under the name Rattus norvegicus (Norway rat). The record is from RNAcentral. Lineage: Eukaryota; Metazoa; Chordata; Mammalia; Rodentia; Muridae.
UNGAAGUGGCUCAUCACAGCUAUUAUUUGC